UACGUAGGUGGCGAGCGUUGUCCGGAUUUACUGGGCGUAAAGGGCGCGUAGGCGGCCCGCUAAGUCGAACGUGAAAUCCCCAGGCUCAACCUGGGAACUGCGUCCGAUACUGGCAGGCUUGAAUCCGGGAGAGGGAUGUGGAAUUCCAGGUGUAGCGGUGAAAUGCGUAGAUAUCUGGAGGAACACCGGUGGCGAAGGCGGCAUCCUGGACCGGUAUUGACGCUGAGGCGCGAAAGCUAGGGGAGCAAACGGG
Molecule: ribosomal RNA, 253 nt
Filed under: uncultured bacterium
Lineage: Bacteria
Description: partial 16S ribosomal RNA
Rfam family: Bacterial small subunit ribosomal RNA
Source: RNAcentral